CCCUGGUGACUAGGCUGGUAAAGAAUUUGCCUGCAAUGCAGGAGACCCAGGUUCAAAUCCUGGAUCAGGAA
Molecule: transfer RNA, 71 nt
Filed under: Ovis aries (sheep)
Lineage: Eukaryota; Metazoa; Chordata; Mammalia; Artiodactyla; Bovidae
Rfam family: tRNA
About the family: Transfer RNA (tRNA) molecules are approximately 80 nucleotides in length. Their secondary structure includes four short double-helical elements and three loops (D, anti-codon, and T loops).
Source: Rfam by way of RNAcentral